GACGAACGCUGGCGGCGUGCUUAACACAUGCAAGUCGAACGGAAAGGCCCUGCUUUUGUGCGGUGCUCGAGUGGCGAACGGGUGAGUAACCCGUGAGUAACCUGCCCUUGACUUUGGGAUAACUUCAGGAAACUGGGGCUAAUACCGGAUAGGAGCUCCUGCUGCAUGGUGGGCGCUGGAAAGUUUCGGCGGUUGGGGAUGGACUCGCGGCUUAUCAGCUUGUUGGUGGGGUAGUGGCUUACCAAGGCUUUGACGGGUAGCCGGCCUGAGAGGGUGACCGGCCACAUUGGGACUGAGAUACGGCCCAGACUCCUACGGGGGGCAGCAGUGGAGAAUAUUGCACAAUGGGCGGAAGCCUGAUGCAGCAACGCCGCGUGCGGGAAGACGGCCUGCGGGUUGUAAACCGCUUUCGCCUGUGACGAAGCGUGAGUGACGGUAAUGGGUAAAGAAGCACCGGCUAACUACGUG
Molecule: ribosomal RNA, 468 nt
Filed under: uncultured bacterium
Lineage: Bacteria
Description: partial 16S ribosomal RNA
Rfam family: Bacterial small subunit ribosomal RNA
Source: RNAcentral